RNAcentral lists this ribosomal RNA (449 nucleotides) under uncultured bacterium. Its description in RNAcentral is "partial 16S ribosomal RNA". It matches the Rfam family "Bacterial small subunit ribosomal RNA", at positions 29 to 496 of the family's 1533-position model. The record is from RNAcentral.
AACGAACGCUGGCGGCAGGCCUAAAACAUGCAAGUCGAGCGCCCCGCAAGGGGAGCGGCGCACGGGUGAGUAACGCGUGGGAACGUGCCCUUAGGUGCGGAAUAACAACUGGAAACGGUUGCUAAUACCGCAUAAUGCAGCGAUGCCAAAGAUUUAUCGCCUAAGGAUCGGCCCGCGUUAGAUUAGUUUGUUGGUGGGGUAAUGGCCUACCAAGACUACGAUCUAUAGCUGGUCUGAGAGGAUGAUCAGCCACACUGGAACUGAGACACGGUCCAGACUCCUACGGAAGGCAGCAGUUAGGAAUAUUGGACAAUGGGCGAAAGCCUGAUCCAGCCAUGCCGCGUGAACGACGAAGGCCUUCGGGUUGUAAAGCUCUUUUGUCCGGGAAGAUAAUGACUGUACCGGAAGAAUAAAUAUGGGACUGACGGUACCUGCAGAAUAAGCCACGG